Molecule: ribosomal RNA, 1052 nt
Filed under: Vibrio diabolicus
Lineage: Bacteria; Pseudomonadati; Pseudomonadota; Gammaproteobacteria; Vibrionales; Vibrionaceae
Also listed under: 2 other names
Description: bacterial SSU rRNA
Rfam family: Bacterial small subunit ribosomal RNA
Source: RNAcentral
CAGAAGAAGCACCGGCUAACUCCGUGCCAGCAGCCGCGGUAAUACGGAGGGUGCGAGCGUUAAUCGGAAUUACUGGGCGUAAAGCGCAUGCAGGUGGUUUGUUAAGUCAGAUGUGAAAGCCCGGGGCUCAACCUCGGAAUAGCAUUUGAAACUGGCAGACUAGAGUACUGUAGAGGGGGGUAGAAUUUCAGGUGUAGCGGUGAAAUGCGUAGAGAUCUGAAGGAAUACCGGUGGCGAAGGCGGCCCCCUGGACAGAUACUGACACUCAGAUGCGAAAGCGUGGGGAGCAAACAGGAUUAGAUACCCUGGUAGUCCACGCCGUAAACGAUGUCUACUUGGAGGUUGUGGCCUUGAGCCGUGGCUUUCGGAGCUAACGCGUUAAGUAGACCGCCUGGGGAGUACGGUCGCAAGAUUAAAACUCAAAUGAAUUGACGGGGGCCCGCACAAGCGGUGGAGCAUGUGGUUUAAUUCGAUGCAACGCGAAGAACCUUACCUACUCUUGACAUCCAGAGAACUUUCCAGAGAUGGAUUGGUGCCUUCGGGAACUCUGAGACAGGUGCUGCAUGGCUGUCGUCAGCUCGUGUUGUGAAAUGUUGGGUUAAGUCCCGCAACGAGCGCAACCCUUAUCCUUGUUUGCCAGCGAGUAAUGUCGGGAACUCCAGGGAGACUGCCGGUGAUAAACCGGAGGAAGGUGGGGACGACGUCAAGUCAUCAUGGCCCUUACGAGUAGGGCUACACACGUGCUACAAUGGCGCAUACAGAGGGCGGCCAACUUGCGAAAGUGAGCGAAUCCCAAAAAGUGCGUCGUAGUCCGGAUUGGAGUCUGCAACUCGACUCCAUGAAGUCGGAAUCGCUAGUAAUCGUGGAUCAGAAUGCCACGGUGAAUACGUUCCCGGGCCUUGUACACACCGCCCGUCACACCAUGGGAGUGGGCUGCAAAAGAAGUAGGUAGUUUAACCUUCGGGGGGACGCUUACCACUUUGUGGUUCAUGACUGGGGUGAAGUCGUAACAAGGUAGCGCUAGGGGAACCUGGCGCUGGAUCACCUCCUUA